AUGACGCUGGCGGCAGGCUACACCUGCAGUUUAACGGUAACAGGAUGUGCUUGCCACAUCGCUGACGAGUGGCGGACGGGUGAGUAAUGCUUAGGGAUCUGCCUCUGUGUGGGGGAUAACUAUUGGAAACGAUAGCUAAUACCGCAUAAUGUUUACGGACCAAAGGGGGCGUUUGCUCCCGCGCAGAGAGGAACCUAAGUGAGAUUAGCUAGUUGGUAAGGUAAUGGCUUACCAAGGCGACGAUCUCUAGCUGUUCUGAGAGGAAGAUCAGCCACACUGGGACUGAGACACGGCCCAGACUCCUACGGGAGGCAGCAGUGGGGAAUAUUGCACAAUGGGGGGAACCCUGAUGCAGCCAUGCCGCGUGUGUGAAGAAGGCCUUCGGGUUGUAAAGCACUUUCAGUUGUGAGGAAACGGUUAGUAGUUAAUACCUGCUAGCUGUGACGUUAGCAACAGAAGAAGCACCGGCUAACUCCGUGCCAGACAGCCGCGGUAAUACGGAGGGUGCGAGCGUUAAUCGGAAUUACUG
RNAcentral lists this ribosomal RNA (529 nucleotides) under uncultured Gammaproteobacteria bacterium. RNAcentral describes it as "bacterial SSU rRNA". It matches the Rfam family "Bacterial small subunit ribosomal RNA", at positions 30 to 556 of the family's 1533-position model. Lineage: Bacteria; Pseudomonadati; Pseudomonadota; Gammaproteobacteria. The record is from RNAcentral.